Molecule: ribosomal RNA, 519 nt
Filed under: uncultured eukaryote
Lineage: Eukaryota
Description: bacterial SSU rRNA
Rfam family: Eukaryotic small subunit ribosomal RNA
Source: RNAcentral
AGGGCACCACCAGGAGUGGAGCCUGCGGCUUAAUUUGACUCAACACGGGAAAACUUACCCGGCCCGGACACUGGAAGGAUUGACAGAUUGAGAGCUCUUUCUUGAUUCAGUGGGUGGUGGUGCAUGGCCGUUCUUAGUUGGUGGAGCGAUUUGUCUGGUUAAUUCCGAUAACGAACGAGACUCUAGCCUACUAAAUAGACUGUUCAGCUUUAUAGCCGGAAUCACCGUAUGCGUGGCUCUCGGGUUGCGUAUGCGGCUCUGGUGACGCUGGCAGUGCUUCUUAGAGGGACAGGCGGCGGUUCAGCCGCACGAAACAGAGCAAUAACAGGUCUGUGAUGCCCUUAGAUGUCCGGGGCUGCACGCGCGCUACACUGAAGUGAUCAGCGUGCAAUUCAAGUUUGGUGAUCUGUCAAGAUUGCCCAACCCGUUGAACCUUCUUCGUGAUUGGGAUAGGGGGAUUGUAAUUAUUUCCCCUUGAACGAGGAAUUCCCAGUAAGCGCAAGUCAUAAGCUUGCGUUG